Molecule: ribosomal RNA, 463 nt
Filed under: Streptococcus sp. oral taxon E98
Lineage: Bacteria; Bacillati; Bacillota; Bacilli; Lactobacillales; Streptococcaceae
Description: bacterial SSU rRNA
Rfam family: Bacterial small subunit ribosomal RNA
Source: RNAcentral
GACGAACGCUGGCGGCGUGCCUAAUACAUGCAAGUAGAACGCUGAAGCUUGGUGCUUGCACCGAGCGGAUGAGUUGCGAACGGGUGAGUAACGCGUAGGUAACCUGCCUGGUAGCGGGGGAUAACUAUUGGAAACGAUAGCUAAUACCGCAUAAUAGCAGUUGUUGCAUGACAACUGUUUAAAAGGUGCAAUUGCAUCACUACCAGAUGGACCUGCGUUGUAUUAGCUAGUUGGUGGGGUAACGGCUCACCAAGGCGACGAUACAUAGCCGACCUGAGAGGGUGAUCGGCCACACUGGGACUGAGACACGGCCCAGACUCCUACGGGAGGCAGCAGUAGGGAAUCUUCGGCAAUGGACGGAAGUCUGACCGAGCAACGCCGCGUGAGUGAAGAAGGUUUUCGGAUCGUAAAGCUCUGUUUGUAAGAGAAGAAACGAGUGUGAGAGUGGAAAAGUUCACCACUG